AAUGGGAUAGUAGGGAAGUUAGACAUCAUUUUCAACAAUCAACAAUUAAAGAGAAACUCUAAAGUGUUCGAGGAUGUGUCGGCUUAGCUAAAAAUGGAUAUUUAACUUUAAUGUACGAAUUAGCGAAGGGCCUUUAAGGGGAUAACAAAGUUUGUGCAUUACAUUACAGUCCUUAUUAUGUGUGAUUGUUAGACCUACUUUCAGAUUCAAGAUUUUUUUAAAAUUACAGUUUUAUGGUGAAACUACAAGUACUCAAGUUCCAUCGUACCAAACAACUACUGUUUCUAUGUCUGAUCAACAAACAUUGGAACAGAUGAUUUGAAUGCUGGCGUACAUUUGAUGUUCCAGCAGCAAGACUGAGUUACUGAAUACAAACUAACAGAAUACAUGAACAUAGCCAGUAAUCUCUGAUGAUGUCCAUUGUGCUGUCUAAACUGACACCAGUUUUACAGAUUACUAUUGACUGAAAGAGACCUAAAGAGU
Molecule: long non-coding RNA, 483 nt
Organism: Rhincodon typus (whale shark)
Lineage: Eukaryota; Metazoa; Chordata; Chondrichthyes; Orectolobiformes; Rhincodontidae
Exons: 4
Source: RefSeq, a predicted model, not a curated record